AUGUGAGAAGCAAAAUUUGCAAUCAGUUUCGACCUGAUCUUAGAUAAUCAAUUUAUCCUCACUUU
RNAcentral lists this transfer RNA (65 nucleotides) under Microcerotermes crassus. Its description in RNAcentral is "tRNA-Arg". Lineage: Eukaryota; Metazoa; Arthropoda; Insecta; Blattodea; Termitidae. RNAcentral also lists the same sequence under 1 other name. The record is from RNAcentral.